CAGUCAUACCAACGGGAAAUCAACCUUUUGAGUUUGGUCUCGUGGGUUUUGAAGAGUUUCAAAGCCUUCGGAUUCGCGGGAUUGGGAUCUCUUGGUGUACUUUUUCGUACGGUUAGUCAACAUCGGUUUUGAAUGUCAUAAAAUGACUGGAGGAAUGUAGCUUCGAUCUCGUAUUGAAAGUGUUAUAGCCUUUGGUAGAUGUGAUGUUUGAGACCGAGGAUUGCAACGGAUACCCUUCAGGGCUAUUCGUCUGAUCUCUGAUACGUUGCCUUGAUGUUGAAAGCUUGCUUAUGAUGUUAGGGUAUUACGGUCAAAAGGUUAGAACGGAUUAGA
This 333-nucleotide ribosomal RNA is filed under the name uncultured Glomeromycotina. RNAcentral describes it as "eukaryotic LSU rRNA". Lineage: Eukaryota; Fungi; Glomeromycota. The record is from RNAcentral.